Long non-coding RNA from Lytechinus variegatus (green sea urchin), 397 nucleotides. RefSeq lists it as uncharacterized. Lineage: Eukaryota; Metazoa; Echinodermata; Echinoidea; Temnopleuroida; Toxopneustidae. The record is from RefSeq and is a predicted model, not a curated record. The transcript is spliced from 3 exons.
UGUAACAAUGCUAACAACUAAUUUCAGCUGGCAAAACCCAAACCAAAACAAAACAUAAGUCGCUUGAACGGUAGCUAUUGUUGUUUUAGGUGGAAAUUUGACAAGAUGGAAGUCAUCAAUGGUGUUAUUUUCUUGAUUACGAUUGGAACAUCCUUCUUAGUACUGUUUGUGAAUAAGGGUGUUUUUAGUUGUGAUGAUCCAGGCACUCCUGCCAAUGGAGUUCGGGAUCCGCCAGAGAGCGGGGAACUCGUCCCCUUUCCUCCAAAAACUGUGAUGCGUUUCAGCUGCAAUGAUGGCUACCUCUUGGAUGGACCUCCAAAGAUCAUCUGCACCAAGGAGAACAAAUGGCUUCCAGCCGAUAGACCAUCAUGUAUAGGUAAGUAAAGGCUACUAACAC